Molecule: ribosomal RNA, 477 nt
Filed under: uncultured Treponema sp.
Lineage: Bacteria; Pseudomonadati; Spirochaetota; Spirochaetia; Treponematales; Treponemataceae
Description: bacterial SSU rRNA
Rfam family: Bacterial small subunit ribosomal RNA
Source: RNAcentral
CAGAACGAACGCUGGGGGCGCGUUUUAAGCAUGCAAGUCGAGCGGCAGCACCAGCAAUGGUGCCUAGAGCGGCGGACUGGUGAGUAACGCGUGGGUGANGUNCCUUGAGGUUGGGAUAGCCAUUAGAAAUAGUGGGUUAUACCGAAUGUGGCUGCCGGGUUAUGAUCUGGCAGAGAAAGGGGCUCCGGCCCCGCCUUGAGAUGGGCCCGCGUCCCAUUAGGUAGUUGGUGAGGUAAGAGCCCACCAAGCCCGAGAUGGGUAGCCGGCCUGAGAGGGUGAACGGCCACACUGGGACUGAGAUACGGCCCAGACUCCUACGGGAGGCAGCAGCUAAGAAUAUUCCGCAAUGGACGAAAGUCUGACGGAGCGACGCCGCGUGGAUGAGGAAGGCCGAAAGGUUGUAAAAUCCUUUUGCGGAUGAAGAAUAAGCGGGGCAGGGAAUGNCCUCGUGAUGACGUUACUCCCGAAAAAGCCCCG